UUACACAUGCAAGUCGCACGACGAGUGCCGUGACGUUUUUGAUCCAACUCUUUGAUGUCUCCUGACCUUCGGGUCCUGAGACUGACGAGACGCGGUGACAAAGCUGACCGGAAUUACACUCGGAGUGGCGGACGGGUGAGUAACGCGUGAAUAAUCAACCUCAGGGUAGAGAACAACCUCGGGAAACCUUGGCUAAUUCUCCAUAUUGGUUGCGAGACAUAAGUCUUGUAAUGAAAGAUCCUUCGGGAUCGCCCUGGGACGAGUUCGCGUCCCAUUAGCUAGUUGGCAGGGUAAGUGCCUACCAAGGCAAUGAUGGGUAGCUGAUCUUAGAGGAUGAUCAGCCACACUGGAACUGAGACACGGUCCAGACUCCUACGGGAGGCUGCAGUGGGGAAUCUUGCACAAUGAGCGUAAGCUUGAUGCAGCGACGCCGCGUGGAGGAUGAAGGCCCUCGGGUCGUAAACUCCUACUCACAGGGAGGAAGAAGGUCGACAGGCAAUGGUCGACCGGUGACGUUACCUGUGAAAUUAGGUCCGGCUAACUACGUGCCAGCAGCCGCGGUAAUACGUAGGGACCAAGCGUUAUCCCGGAAUCACUGGGUGUAAAGGGUACGCAGGCGGACAUGUAGGUCUAUUGUGAAAGUCCCGGGCUUACCCCGGGGAUUGCNUUGGAAACCCCAUGU
RNAcentral lists this ribosomal RNA (682 nucleotides) under uncultured bacterium. RNAcentral's name for it is "bacterial SSU rRNA". It matches the Rfam family "Bacterial small subunit ribosomal RNA", at positions 49 to 640 of the family's 1533-position model. The record is from RNAcentral.